UACAGAGGGGGCAAGCGUUGUUCGGAAUUACUGGGCGUAAAGGGCUCGUAGGCGGCCAACUAAGUCAGACGUGAAAUCCCUCGGCUUAACCGGGGAACUGCAUCUGAUACUGGAUGGCUUGAGUUCGGGAGAGGGAUGCGGAAUUCCAGGUGUAGCGGUGAAAUGCGUAGAUAUCUGGAGGAACACCGGUGGCGAAGGCGGCAUCCUGGACCGACACUGACGCUGAGGAGCGAAAGCCAGGGGAGCAAACGGG
RNAcentral lists this ribosomal RNA (253 nucleotides) under uncultured bacterium. RNAcentral describes it as "partial 16S ribosomal RNA". It matches the Rfam family "Bacterial small subunit ribosomal RNA", at positions 524 to 776 of the family's 1533-position model. The record is from RNAcentral.